AGAAACACCACGACUUGUCGGAGCUUGACGGUACUGUAAGAAUAAGGAUCGGCUAACUCCGUGCCAGCAGCCGCGGUAAUACGGAGGAUCCAAGCGUUAUCCGGAAUCAUUGGGUUUAAAGGGUCCGUAGGCGGACUUUUAAGUCAGAGGUGAAAUCCCACAGCUCAACUGUGGAACUGCCUUUGAUACUGGAAGUCUUGAGUUAUUGUGAAGUGGUUAGAAUGUGUGGUGUAGCGGUGAAAUGCAUAGAUAUUACAUAGAAUACCGAUUGCGAAGGCAGAUCACUAACAAUGUACUGACGCUGAUGGACGAAAGCGUGGGUAGCGAACAGGAUUAGAUACCCUGGUAGUCCACGCCGUAAACGAUGGAUACUAGCUGUUCGGAUUUCAUUGCUGAGUGGAGUGGCUAAGCGAAAGUGAUAAGUAUCCCACCUAGGGAGUACAACGAUGAGACUGAAACUGAAUUGAC
Molecule: ribosomal RNA, 468 nt
Filed under: uncultured Flavobacteriia bacterium
Lineage: Bacteria; Pseudomonadati; Bacteroidota; Flavobacteriia
Description: bacterial SSU rRNA
Rfam family: Bacterial small subunit ribosomal RNA
Source: RNAcentral